GGUGUGAGCACACCCCUGACAUGAGGCACUCCUGUGUUUCGUGCUGGAAAGCCUUCUGCACACCCCUGAAGUUGAGAAACAGAUUAAUUUCAGUUGGAAUUAUUCCUUGCCUGCUUGUGAAAAUAAUUUGGAUUCACAGUGUUUCUUUCAGCAGGAUUAAGGUGUGUGGAAGCUGAGUGCUUCGUGCAAGUGUGUCUGUUCAGUGCCUCUGCAGACAGCUCAGCACCAGUGCCAUGUGGUUCUCCCACUCUCUGCAGACAGCAGGAAAUCCUGAGUUAGAGAUUAAUGUCACUGCUCUGCCUGAGGAGUCAUCAGGUUGUUCGUGGUACAGCAGUCAGAAAACUUGCUUGACACAAGAUGCUGAGAUUUCGACCUGCAUUCUGAUUCAAGCAACACAGCUGCUUUAUCCGCCUCUCUGGUACAUCAAUUAAAUAUCUUGACUAUUUCCUUCCCCUCAGGGAAUCUACUUUUCCAAUGAGUGCUCUGGUUCUCAUUAUAAUUUUGAGAAAUCUUCAUUUUGUCUCUUCUGGUUUCAUCUCGAUUGACAAUCAGAGCAGAUUUUCCAGGCAGCUGCUGAACAGGCUGGGGUGCAGCAGCACCAGUCCCUUCCCCAGGGAAUUUACAGCUUAAGACUAGAGCCAGAACCACAAAGUGCUGUGGAGGAACAAAGUGAAAAAAGUAAAAACAAACAUGAUUUUUUGUGACAAAGUAAGAUCAGUGCACUCAAUUCUUUUUGUGUUGUAAUUGUGUAGGAUAGGGGUCUGGGGAAAUAAAAAAAUUGAGCAUAACUUGGGUUGUCUGAGUUAAAAUCUCCUUCAAAAUGACAUUUGUGUUCUCACAGGAGGAUUGUGCAGGCCCCAGAGAACCAGCAAUAUAAUCUCUUUUUGGUUUUUUUUCUUUUUGGGUUCAAAAUCAGGAUGUCUCUCCCUGGAGGAGGAGGAGGGUGCUGCAGUACUGCUUUAGCAAUCCAUUUUAAUAAUACAAGAGUAAUAACAGCAACCACCACCACAAAAAUCUCCUCCAACAAGAAUAAAACCAAUAAACCAUUAUUAUUAGUAGUAUUAGUAUUAUUAGUCCUCUAAUGGAAAUAGAGAAACUCAGAGAACCACCAUGUAUUUAAGUAAAGGAAUGUAGAACAGAUAAUGUUUAUGACACCAUAGUCAUGGGGCACACUGACAUAUAAUUCAACAGAAUUUACAGUGCAUUACCACUACAUGUUUUUAAGAAUGUGUACAAAUUUUAAUAGCAUUGAAAUAUAUAAGUAUACACAUAAGUAUUUUUCUUUUUUGUUAGGUUUGUACAUUUUCCUGUCCAUUUAUUCCCUUCGCAUAUCCUGAAUUGCUGCCUGAUUGGUGGUUCUGUCACA
Taeniopygia guttata (zebra finch) is the source of this 1366-nucleotide non-coding RNA. The record is from RefSeq and is a predicted model, not a curated record. Lineage: Eukaryota; Metazoa; Chordata; Aves; Passeriformes; Estrildidae.